GAUGAACGCUGGCGGCGUGCCUAAUACAUGCAAGUCGAGCGAACAGACGAGGAGCUUGCUCCUCUGACGUUAGCGGCGGACGGGUGAGUAACACGUGGAUAACCUACCUAUAAGACUGGGAUAACUUCGGGAAACCGGAGCUAAUACCGGAUAAUAUAUUGAACCGCAUGGUUCAAUAGUGAAAGACGGUUUUGCUGUCACUUAUAGAUGGAUCCGCGCCGCAUUAGCUAGUUGGUAAGGUAACGGCUUACCAAGGCAACGAUGCGUAGCCGACCUGAGAGGGUGAUCGGCCACACUGGAACUGAGACACGGUCCAGACUCCUACGGGAGGCAGCAGUAGGGAAUCUUCCGCAAUGGGCGAAAGCCUGACGGGGCAACGCCGCGUGAGUGAUGAAGGUCUUCGGAUCGUAAAACUCUGUUAUUAGGGAAGAACAAAUGUGUAAGUAACUAUGCACGUCUGGACGGUACCUAAUCAGAAAACCACGGCUAACUACGU
RNAcentral lists this ribosomal RNA (496 nucleotides) under uncultured bacterium. RNAcentral's name for it is "partial 16S ribosomal RNA". It matches the Rfam family "Bacterial small subunit ribosomal RNA", at positions 28 to 506 of the family's 1533-position model. The record is from RNAcentral.